UAACAAGGUUUCCGUAGGUGAACUGCGGAAGAUCAUUA
This 38-nucleotide ribosomal RNA is filed under the name Descomyces sp. H6701. Its description in RNAcentral is "partial 18S ribosomal RNA". Lineage: Eukaryota; Fungi; Basidiomycota; Agaricomycetes; Agaricales; Bolbitiaceae. The record is from RNAcentral.